RNAcentral lists this unclassified non-coding RNA (237 nucleotides) under uncultured fungus. Its description in RNAcentral is "sequence contains 18S rRNA gene, ITS1, 5.8S rRNA gene, ITS2". The record is from RNAcentral. Lineage: Eukaryota; Fungi.
AAAUAAAAUUUAAAACUUUUAAUGAGUUUAAAAACACAAAUUGACGGCCUUUGCAACUUAAUGCAAGUCCAGCACAAAGCACUGCACGGGCCGCCAAUAUACAAUUACAGGUGCACAAAUUGGUUCCUUUUUUUCUUUUUCACAAACUUAGACAGUUUGCGAAAGAAAAAAGAAAUUGGUAAUGAUCCAACCGCAGGUUCACCUACGGUUACCUUGUUACGACUUUUACUUCCUCUA